AAUCAACGCUGGCGGCGUGCCUCAGACAUGCAAGUCGAACGCGAAAGUCCCCUUCGGGGGGCGAGUAGAGUGGCGCACGGGUGAGUAACACGUAGGUAAUCUACCCCCGAGUGGGGAAUAACUCAGGGAAGCUUGAGCUAAUACCGCAUAAUGCAGCGGCACCACAUGGUGACAGUUGUUAAAGCAUUUAUGCGCUUGGGGAGGAGCCUGCGGCAGAUAGCUAGUUGGUAAGGUAAUGGCUUACCAAGGCUACGAUCUGUAACCGGCCUGAGAGGGCGGACGGUCACACUGACACUGAAUAACGGGUCAGACUCCUACGGGAGGCAGCAGUCGGGAAUUUUGGGCAAUGGGUGAAGGCCUGACCCAGCAACGCCGCGUGAAGGAUGAAAUCUUU
RNAcentral lists this ribosomal RNA (394 nucleotides) under uncultured bacterium. RNAcentral describes it as "bacterial SSU rRNA". It matches the Rfam family "Bacterial small subunit ribosomal RNA", at positions 32 to 418 of the family's 1533-position model. The record is from RNAcentral.